GACGAACGCUGGCGGCGUGGAUUAGGCAUGCAAGUCGAACGGUAGGAUCCUUUCGGGGAUCUGAGAGUGGCGAACGGGUGAGUAACACGUAGGUGAUCUACCUUCAAGACGGGGACAACCCAGGGAAACUUGGGCUAAUACCGGAUGUGAGCUAUCGCGAGAUAGUUUGAAAGGUGGCUUCGGCUGCCGCUUGAGGAUGAGCCUGCGUCCUAUUAGCUAGUUGGUGAGGUAACGGCUCACCGAGGCAGUGAUAGGUAGGCGGCCUUAACGGGUGGUCGCCCACACUGGGAUUGAGAUACGGCCCAGACUCCUACGGGAGGCAGCAGUCGAGAAUAGUCUACAAUGGUCGAAAGACUGAUAGUGCGACGCCGCGUGAACGAAGAAGCCCUUCGGGGUGUAAAGUUCUUUUAUAUGUGAGCAGUGACACCCAUAUUAAUAGUAUGGGUGUAGAGAUAUUAGCAUAUGAAUAAGCAACGGCUAACUCCGUGCCAGC
RNAcentral lists this ribosomal RNA (493 nucleotides) under uncultured bacterium. RNAcentral describes it as "bacterial SSU rRNA". It matches the Rfam family "Bacterial small subunit ribosomal RNA", at positions 28 to 512 of the family's 1533-position model. The record is from RNAcentral.